UCCCCACUGGCUUAGCAGUAAAGAAUCUGCCUGCAAUGCAGGGGACACAGGAGAUGAGGGAUCGAUCCUUGUGUGGGGAA
This 80-nucleotide transfer RNA is filed under the name Bos taurus (domestic cattle). It matches the Rfam family "tRNA". Rfam says of the family: Transfer RNA (tRNA) molecules are approximately 80 nucleotides in length. Their secondary structure includes four short double-helical elements and three loops (D, anti-codon, and T loops). Further hydrogen bonds mediate the characteristic L-shaped molecular structure. tRNAs have two regions of fundamental functional importance: the anti-codon, which is responsible for specific mRNA codon recognition, and the 3' end, to which the tRNAs corresponding amino acid is attached (by aminoacyl-tRNA synthetases). tRNAs cope with the degeneracy of the genetic code in two manners: having more than one tRNA (with a specific anti-codon) for a particular amino acid; and 'wobble' base-pairing, i.e. permitting non-standard base-pairing at the 3rd anti-codon position. RNAcentral also lists the same sequence under 5 other names. Lineage: Eukaryota; Metazoa; Chordata; Mammalia; Artiodactyla; Bovidae. The record is from Rfam by way of RNAcentral.